CAAUGACAUCAUGAAAUUUGAAGGCAAAUGGAUAGAACUAGAAACAAUCAUCCCGAGUGAGGUAACUCAGACCCAGAAAGACACACACAGUAUGUACUCACUCUUAAAUGGAUAUUAGAUGCAAAACAAAGGAUAACCAGGCUACAGUCCACAACCCCAGAGAAGCUAGGUAAAAAGGACCCUAAGAGGGACACACAUGGAGAGCCCCAAGAAAGGAAAAUAGUUAAGAUCUCCUGGGUAAACUGGGAGGGAGGUUAGAUGGAAAGGGAUAGUGGAUGGGAACAGGAGUGACUGAGAUGGCCAAGUGGAGGGAGGGACAGAGAGGGAGCACAAUGAAAGAGAUAUCCUGGUAGAGGGAACCAUUAGGGGGUUAGGGAGAAACCUGGUACUGGAGAAAUCCCCAGAAAUUCACAAGGAUGACUCCAGCUAAAACUCCUAGCUAUAAUGGAGAGGGUACCUGAACUUAUCUUCCCUUAUAAUCAGAUUAGUGACUACCCUAAUUGUCAUCAUAGAACUACAUCCAGUAACAGAUGGAAGCAGAUACAGUGAUCCACAACCAAGCACUGGGCUGAGCUCCUCGACUUCAAUUGAAGAGAGGGAGGAGGGAUCUCAGGAGCAAGCAAGGUCAAGAUCAUGAUGUGGAAAACCAUAGAGACAGCCCCUCGCUUGGACAUGGUGAAUGGGUGGUGUAGUGGGUAGCCAUUCCAGCUUUGAUCUGGAAGUUCCAACCCCCAUUGAGACUUCGGCAACUGUCACACCUACAAGGCAGGGCCAAGGGAGGCGCCUGGAGACUCGAGAUCUGGAUGGGCCAGUGCUCUCUCUGUUCCGGGACCCUGGACGAUGGAGGUGGGCCAAGAAGAGCUCCAGAGAACACCGCUGGACUGCGAUACACCUUCCCCAGACCCCACGACCUACCUAUCCCUUAAUUUGUAAGUUACGCCAUUAAAUAAAUCUCCUUUUAACUACA
Molecule: long non-coding RNA, 967 nt
Organism: Peromyscus eremicus (cactus mouse)
Lineage: Eukaryota; Metazoa; Chordata; Mammalia; Rodentia; Cricetidae
Exons: 2
Source: RefSeq, a predicted model, not a curated record